AGCAGCCGCGGUAAUUCCAGCUCCAAUAGCGUAUAUUAAAGUUGUUGCAGUUAAAAAGCUCGUAGUUGAAUUUCGGGAUCAAUACGUCGGUCGUGCCUCCGGUACGUACUGGUGUUGUUGAUUUCUCCCUUCUGAUGAACCACGAUGUCAUUAAUUUGGUGUUGUGGGGAGUCAGGACUGUUACUUUGAAAAAUAGAGUGUUUAAAGCAGGCAAAACGCUUGAAUACAUUAGCAUGGAAUAAUGAAAUAGGACGUUCGAACCUACUUUGUUGGUUUCUAGGAUCAACGUAAUGAUUAAUAGGGAUAGUUGGGGGCAUUAGUAUUCAAUUGUCAGAGGUGAAAUUCUUGGAUUUAUUGAAGACUAACUACUGCGAAAGCA
This 379-nucleotide ribosomal RNA is filed under the name uncultured Glomus. RNAcentral describes it as "SSU rRNA". It matches the Rfam family "Eukaryotic small subunit ribosomal RNA", at positions 569 to 953 of the family's 1831-position model. The record is from RNAcentral. Lineage: Eukaryota; Fungi; Glomeromycota; Glomeromycetes; Glomerales; Glomeraceae.